UCAGCACAGCCAUAUCACCCUGCAGCCCAAGACCGCUUACUCACUGAAGCUAAGCAGGGCUGAGCCUGGUUAGUACCAGGAUGGGAGAGACCACAUGGGAACACUAGGGUUGUUGUCGGAA
Molecule: ribosomal RNA, 121 nt
Organism: Danio rerio (zebrafish)
Lineage: Eukaryota; Metazoa; Chordata; Actinopteri; Cypriniformes; Danionidae
Source: Ensembl